Castor canadensis (American beaver) is the source of this 1684-nucleotide non-coding RNA. Lineage: Eukaryota; Metazoa; Chordata; Mammalia; Rodentia; Castoridae. The record is from RefSeq and is a predicted model, not a curated record.
ACUGGUCACCCCUCAGGCCACGAUGGAGGCUGCAGCGGACAGGACAGGCGGGCAGGCCUCAGGAGGGGACUCGGGGAGGCUGGUGGGCCCAGCGCCGCCACGAGGAGCUGGGUGCAUGCCUGGCCCAAGGAGGCAGCCCUGUGGCCUGUGCAGGCCUGGGUGGCAUCAGCCCCCUGUACCAGCAAGGCAGCUCCAAUUGUCCAGAAGAGCAGUGGCCAUCAGUGCCCAGGGGAUGACGAACUCCCCUGUGAUAGGCCCCCCAGAAGAGAAGGCCAACCCACCUGAAGACACAGGCCAUGUGGGGCUCCCGGGAGCUGCUUCUGGUGUGGUUUCUAGUGUUGGCAGUCGGGGGCACUGAGCACGUCUACCGGCCCAGCCGCAGGGUGUGUACUGUGGGGGCUGCCAGGGGCCCCGUGUCAGAGUCCUUCGUGCAGCGCGUGUACCAGCCCUUCCUCACCACCUGUGCUGGGCACCGAGCCUGCAGCACCUACAGAACCAUCUACCGGACAGCCUACCGCCAGAACCCCGAGCUGACCCCUGCCAGGCCUCGCUAUGCCUGCUGCCCUGGCUGGAAGAGGGCCAGUGGGCUCCCUGGGGCCUGCAGUACCGCAAUAUGCCACCCACCAUGUGGGAAUGGAGGGAGCUGUGUCCAGCCAGGCCGCUGCCACUGCUCAACAGGAUGGCAGGGAGACACCUGCCAAACAGAUGUGGACGAAUGCAGUACUGGAGGGGCCAGCUGUCCCCAGCACUGCAUCAACACCGCAGGCAGUUACUGGUGCCAGUGUUGGAAGGGGCACAGCCCAUCUGCAGAUGGAACGCUCUGUCUGCCCAAGGGAGGGCCCCCUAGGCUGACCGUGAACCCCAUGACAGGUAAACUUGCUCCCCACUCCACCCUGUGCGUGGUCUGGGGCGGUGGGCAGAUGGUGGACAUCCAGGGCCCUGUGGGUGUGGGCACUGAGGGCAGCCAGCCCUGGGUGGAGAUUGACACAUGGGAAGGCCUGAGCCCCGGCAUUCUGGGCUGGCAGGUGGCUAACAUCUUGGCAGAAGGUGGCAGAAGCCUCUUUUCCCUGGGGAGGUUUCUGGAAGACACUGUAGGGAGGGCUAUCCAGGGGCCUCAUGUCAGCCAAGCAAGUGGAAGAAGGCCCCCAUCCUUGGGGCCCAGCAGUCUGGAGAGAUGGCAGACCUUUGCUGGUGACGGGCCAUUAUUACUUUUGGUACGCGCUGUGACACUUCAAACUCGUACCGUGAGUAAUAAUGCGUUGUCAGCAGCCCAGCACGAGGAGCACGUCAGAUCUCGGCGAGGACCACCAUCAGCAAGGUGGGGCCUGGGACCCCAGAACCAAGGGGUACUUUGGGUCCACCAAGAGCCAUGUGCAUCAGUGUGCCAAGGUGUCAGGACCUGGAGACUUCCAGGACAGUCCCAGGUGGACAGUUGGGUUAUCAGAGGCCUGUGUCUUCUGGGCUCUACCCCCACAGCUGGAGCUGUGGGAUAAGAGGCUGCCUUGAGGGUGGGGUGGGAAAAUGCCCUUCCCUGACCCAGUGCCUGGAUCUGCCCCCAGGAGAGGACAAUGUGGUGAGGGAGGAGAUGCAGAGGCUGCAGUCCCGGGUAGACAUGCUGGAGCAGAAGCUGCAGCUGGUGCUGGACCCACUGCAAAGCCUGGCCUCAAGGGCCUUGGAGCAUGGG